This 499-nucleotide ribosomal RNA is filed under the name uncultured bacterium. RNAcentral describes it as "partial 16S ribosomal RNA". It matches the Rfam family "Bacterial small subunit ribosomal RNA", at positions 28 to 507 of the family's 1533-position model. The record is from RNAcentral.
GACGAACGCUGGCGGCGUGCUUAACACAUGCAAGUCGAACGGGCCCGCCCCUGUUUUUGGGGGUGGGUUGAGUGGCGAACGGGUGAGUAUCACGUGAGUAACCUGCCCCCUGCUCCUGGAUAACUGCUUGAAAGGGCGGCUAAUACGGGGUGUGCCGGCUGGUCCGCAUGGGCCUGGUCGGGAUAGUUUCAUCUUCGGGUGUUUCGGUGGGGGAUGGGCUCGCGGCCUAUCAGCUUGUUGGUGGGGUGAUGACCCACCAAGGCGGUGACGGGUAGCCGGCCUGGGAGGGUGGGCGGCCACACUGGGACGGAGACACGGCCCAGACUCCUGCGGGAGGCAGCAGUGGGGGGUAUUGCACAAUGGGCGGAAGCCUGAUGCAGCGACGUCGCGUGAGGGAUGGAGGCCUUCGGGUUGUGAACCUCUUUCUCCGGUGGGGAAGGCCCUGUCCGUUGCGGCGGGGUUGACGGUAGCCGGGUAUGAAGCGCCGGCUAACUACGUG